GACGAACGCUGGCGGCGUGCUUAACACAUGCAAGUCGAACGAAGAGCGAUGGACGCUUGCUUCCAUCAAUUUUAGUCGCGAACGGGUGUGUAACGCGUAAUCAACCCGCCCUUCAGAGGGGGACAACAGUUGGAAACGACUGCUAAUACCGCAUACGAUCUAAUCUCGGCAUCGAGGAUAGAUGAAAGGUGGCCUCUACAUGUAAGCUAUCACUGAAGGGGGGGAUUGUGUCUGAUUAGCUAGUUGGAGGGGUAACGGCCCACCAAGGCGAUGAUCAGUAGCCGGUCUGAGAGGAUGAACCGGCACAAUGGGACUGAGACACGGGCCAGACUCCUACGGGAAGCAGCAGUGGGGAAUCUUCCGGAAUGGACGAAAGGCUGACGGGGCAACGCCGCGUGGGGGAUGACUGCCUUCGGGUUGUAAAGCUCUGUUAAUCGGGACGAAAGGCCUUCUUGCGAAAAGUGGGAAGGAUUGACGGUACCGGAAUAGAAAGCCACGGCUAACUACGUG
This 510-nucleotide ribosomal RNA is filed under the name uncultured bacterium. Its description in RNAcentral is "partial 16S ribosomal RNA". It matches the Rfam family "Bacterial small subunit ribosomal RNA", at positions 28 to 507 of the family's 1533-position model. The record is from RNAcentral.